CUCCAGACAUGCUUGCCGUCUCAGUUGAUGGAAACCGUAAGCUUUAUCGCUUUCAAUCUAAUGCAAGCACUUCAGAGCAGGGGAACUUUGAAGGUGUCUUCAUUGAAAAAGAUGAGGACGUUGCUGAGUUUGUGAAAUACAUCCAGAGACACACAAAUCAUGUCCCGGGGAAAGGGUUGUGCGGAUCUUCAUCUUGGACUGCAGCAAAGGAGUCGUCCAAAAAGUCCACUGGGAAGUUGGAUGAAGAGGGCAUGGAAAUAGCU
Long non-coding RNA from Pelmatolapia mariae (spotted tilapia), 263 nucleotides. RefSeq lists it as uncharacterized. Lineage: Eukaryota; Metazoa; Chordata; Actinopteri; Cichliformes; Cichlidae. The transcript has 3 exons. The record is from RefSeq and is a predicted model, not a curated record.